UCCUGGGUCGUUCAACGGUAGGACGCUGCGCUUUGAACGCGGAGAUCAAGGUUCAACUCCUUGCCCGGGAGCCA
This 74-nucleotide transfer RNA is filed under the name Acidobacteriota bacterium. Its description in RNAcentral is "tRNA-Gln". It matches the Rfam family "tRNA". Rfam says of the family: Transfer RNA (tRNA) molecules are approximately 80 nucleotides in length. Their secondary structure includes four short double-helical elements and three loops (D, anti-codon, and T loops). RNAcentral also lists the same sequence under 1 other name. The record is from RNAcentral. Lineage: Bacteria; Pseudomonadati; Acidobacteriota.